AAAAAUACACAUUUAGACCUAGACCUAUAUAAUAGGGGUAACACCUAAAUGAGCUGGGGGGAGACACUAAAAAAGCGCCGUUUCUAUCGAGACCCUCUACCCAUAACGUCUUCUCCUUCAUCGGAUUCCCCCAUCUUUUUCUUCACAGAAAAUCCCCUGAUGUAACGCGAACAGACCCCCCUCACGUAGCUUCUCCAUCGUCUUCUUCAUGGAGACAGCAAGAAAACUCCAUUGAAUCUCCUCCACCUCAAAAACAUUCAGCUACAGCACGUCAAAACGACCCCCAUCGGUUUUGCUCUGCUUCUUCCCCAUUUUCGCAACUUGAGACAUCCUUCUAAUUCCCAAACAAAUACAGCGACCAAACAACUCAAACCAGCUGCUAUUCCUCGGAAACCAGACGCACGACGUCACCGGCGAUCACCAUCAUUUCUUUCAAACACACACACACAUACACACUCAGCCAUAGAGGAAAUAGAGAAAGACAUAAGGAAAAGAACUAACCUAAUACAAGGGUGAACAGACAGAAACAGAGUGAGAAAAUCCGAUGACAACAGUCAGUCGUUUCAGUUAUCGCUGAGAGUCGGGGUCCAUCCGAGGUUCGUCAAUUUCUGGCGAGCUUCGAGGUCGUUGAAGGUCGUGGUCCGAGGUCUCUGUUCAACGCCAUUUUCUGCCGAGUGAAACCCAUUCCGGUUCACGUCCGACCUUUAUUUGACAUUUUUGAACUGUUUCUUUACUGUCAAUAGGUAAGCCUCAUCACCUUUGCCUUAUGUAUUUUCCAGCUUGCCUAUGCCCUCUUUUGUUGAAUGGUAUUUGACAUGGACAUAUUUCAACAAUGUAUUUUCUUUAUUGAAAUGUUUAUUUUAUGGUUAGUUUUAUUUGUUCAUCUUGCACUUGAUAUAAAUCUAUCAAAGAUAUGCUGUUGUGGGGAUUUUGCACUUCUUAUGAUAUUAGGAAGUUCCAAUAGAUAGUUCCGGAUGAUUUUUCCAUUCUCUGUUGCUUUUACUAAUUUCCAAAUUUUAAUUUCCAAUCUUUGGUAGUGUGGAUCAUGAUGAGUUUGCUGGAGAAGAUUUUUCUUAAUUACGUGAUAGUAUUCAACGAUAUUUUGAGGCAAGGAAGUAUGCUUUUCCUCUGUUGUUUUACAAGUAAUUCAUAUCGUUAGUAUUCUUUUGGGUACGCUCUUAAUCUACUAUCGUGGUUGUGGAUAUGUUCGCGUGACAUAAUUACGAUUCCUUAAGGAUGGGUUGAGGUAUACUAUAUUAGCCAAAAGACAUAGUUUAUGGCCCUCAAAAGCUGAGUUUUGAAUUUCCUUAAAAUUAGAAUCGAGGUGUGUCGUGCCAAAUAAAAUUUCAAAAUUGCAUGACCCUCACUUAAUUAAUAUUUUAUCCUUAGAAAUCGAGGCGCGCCAUUUAGUUGAAUUUUCCAUGGCCCUCGCAAGGUUGCAAAUUCGUAGUGUUUUAGGCACGCCAUUUUAAUAAUUUACCUCCCUAAACUCGGGUGUGCAUUUAUGUGACCCAAAUCCAAAACUCAACAAUGUUAUAUAAAAUGUGUUGCGGACUGCGGGUGCAUUUAUGUGACGUGGUUCAAGACAUAUUUUAAAUGACGUUGCAAAUCUUCUUUAAAAAUGGUUAAAAGCGGUUUAAAGUUAAAAUGCACAUA
RNAcentral lists this long non-coding RNA (1656 nucleotides) under Nicotiana tabacum (common tobacco). RNAcentral describes it as "long non-coding RNA (NTAB_LNC004580)". The record is from RNAcentral. Lineage: Eukaryota; Viridiplantae; Streptophyta; Magnoliopsida; Solanales; Solanaceae.